GGGGGAAGAAGAAUGAAGAAAGCUUCUCUCUGCUUGUACAAGUGCCAGAGUUAAAUGUAUUUGGCUUACAGUACAUUGAGAAGGCCUAGUUAUUCCCAAGUUCCUAAUAUCUGACAACGGAGUCAAUUAACAAUUAACUCAAUCACUGACUUAUAAAUAGUAUUCCAUUCCACAAAAUGUGUACAAUCAACACAGGGUAACAAUGUAACCUUCAGAUUCAAAGCACUGGCUUCGAUUAUCACAAAAGCGGUACCGUUUUUAAACGACUACAUUCUGAGUGCAUGAGCAAUGAAUUAGACAAAACAAGGGAGAGUGACGCUUCUGGGACCCUCGAGAGGACAUCCUGGAGAAGAACAUAUUUCUUCUUGUAGGUCAGAAGAAGAGAUAACCACCAUUCGGUGGAAAAGAAACAAGCAAGCUUCCUUUCUCUCUCUGAGAGAGAGGAAAGCAACUCCUCACUUGGCUGCGCAGGACAAAGCCAGGACGUGCAAGAAAGCAUCAGUCUAAGCUCCACGUGCCUCUCCAAGGACAGAGGGACCCACCCCCACACAUCACUCCUGGACAGCCAGCCCCCAAGUGCCCGCACAAGGCACCAGGUCCUCUGCCAAACUGGGUACCAGACAUCAGGCUUUUACAGGAGCUGUCACAGGAGGGCAUGGGGGGGGGGGCUGUCCCCCUUCUUUCUUUCCAAGACUGUCUUUCUCUGCCUAAUGUCCAUCUACGAAGUGAAAUGUGCCUCUCCAAGGAAACUGAGAUGUCAAUAAAUGCACAGACACACACCCUGGUCUCCAGUUAAGUCCCUGAGCCCCGCCACCAGUGCCAAGGGGAAUCGAGUCUCUUUCCCCCGGACCCCAAGGCGGAGGGGGCCCAGACUCACCCAGUCCUCGAAGUGUCGGCUCCCAUUCUGCAGCAGCUCCUCGAACUGGAUGGUGCAGUUGGCCACGAAGUCGUCGUAGCCGAUGGGGGCAUCGUGAAAGACGGCCAGCUCGAUCUUGCGCCCGUUGCACACAUCCGUGACGA
Perognathus longimembris pacificus (Pacific pocket mouse) is the source of this 1020-nucleotide long non-coding RNA. RefSeq lists it as uncharacterized. The record is from RefSeq and is a predicted model, not a curated record. Lineage: Eukaryota; Metazoa; Chordata; Mammalia; Rodentia; Heteromyidae. The transcript is spliced from 3 exons.